AUUCUCUUAAAACAUAAA
This 18-nucleotide small RNA is filed under the name Arabidopsis thaliana (thale cress). Its description in RNAcentral is "ATSL303620". Lineage: Eukaryota; Viridiplantae; Streptophyta; Magnoliopsida; Brassicales; Brassicaceae. The record is from RNAcentral.